Molecule: transfer RNA, 76 nt
Filed under: Pleurosigma inscriptura
Lineage: Eukaryota; Bacillariophyta; Bacillariophyceae; Naviculales; Pleurosigmataceae
Description: tRNA-His
Rfam family: tRNA
About the family: Transfer RNA (tRNA) molecules are approximately 80 nucleotides in length.
Source: RNAcentral
GCGUAUAUAGCUCAGUUUAGGUUAGAGCAUCGGAUUGUGGUUCCGGAGGUCACAGGUUCAAAUCCUGUUAUACGCC